AGUGAACGCUGGCGGUAGGCCUAACACAUGUAAGUCGAACGGCAGCACAGUAAGAGCUUGCUCUUACGGGUGGCGAGUGGCGGACGGGUGAGGAAUACAUCGGAAUCUACUUUUUCGUGGGGGAUAACGUAGGGAAACUUACGCUAAUACCGCAUACGACCUACGGGUGAAAGCAGGGGAUCUUCGGACCUUGCGCGAUUGAAUGAGCCGAUGUCGGAUUAGCUAGUUGGCGGGGUAAAGGCCAACCAAGGCGACGAUCCGUAGCUGGUAUGAGAGGAUGAUCAGCCACACGGGAACUGAGACACGGUCCAGAGUCCUACGGGAGGCAACAGUGGGGAAUAUUGGACAAUGGGAGCAAGCCUGAUCCAGCCAUACCGCGUGGGUGAAGAAGGCCUUCGGGUUGUAAAGCCCUUUUGUUGGGAAAGAAAAGCAGCAGGUUAAUACCCCGCUGUUCUGACGGUACCCAAAGAAUAAGCACCGGCUAACUUCGUG
This 492-nucleotide ribosomal RNA is filed under the name uncultured bacterium. Its description in RNAcentral is "partial 16S ribosomal RNA". It matches the Rfam family "Bacterial small subunit ribosomal RNA", at positions 29 to 507 of the family's 1533-position model. The record is from RNAcentral.